RNAcentral lists this ribosomal RNA (206 nucleotides) under uncultured bacterium. RNAcentral describes it as "partial 16S ribosomal RNA". It matches the Rfam family "Bacterial small subunit ribosomal RNA", at positions 1287 to 1500 of the family's 1533-position model. The record is from RNAcentral.
CUCAGUUCGGAUCGGAGUCUGCAACCCGACUCCGUGAAGCUGGAUUCGCUAGUAAUCGCGCAUCAGCCAUGGCGCGGUGAAUACGUUCCCGGGCCUUGUACACACCGCCCGUCAAGCCAUGGAGGCCGGGGGCGCUUGAAGUGCGUUGCCGCAAGGCGCGCCCUAGAGCGAAACCGGUGACUGGGGCUAAGUCGUAACAAGGUAUC